Molecule: ribosomal RNA, 484 nt
Filed under: uncultured bacterium
Lineage: Bacteria
Description: bacterial SSU rRNA
Rfam family: Bacterial small subunit ribosomal RNA
Source: RNAcentral
AUUGAACGCUGGCGGCAUGCUUUACACAUGCAAGUCGAACGGUAACAGGGAGCUUGCUCCGCUGACGAGUGGCGAACGGGUGAGUAAUGCAUCGGAACGUACCCAGUCGUGGGGGAUAACGUAGCGAAAGUUACGCUAAUACCGCAUACGUCCUGAGGGAGAAAGCGGGGGACCGUAAGGCCUCGCGCGAUUGGAGCGGCCGAUGUCGGAUUAGCUAGUUGGUGGGGUAAAGGCCUACCAAGGCGACGAUCCGUAGCGGGUCUGAGAGGAUGAUCCGCCACACUGGGACUGAGACACGGUCCAGACUCCUACGGGAGGCAGCAGUGGGGAAUUUUGGACAAUGGGGGCAACCCUGAUCCAGCCAUGCCGCGUGAGUGAAGAAGGCCUUCGGGUUGUAAAGCUCUUUCGGCCGGGAAAAAAUCGCAUCAGUUAAUACCUGGUGUGGAUGAUGGUACCGGAAUAAGAAGCACCGGCUAACUACGUG